AAUCACAGGUCAGCAUACUGUGGUGAAUACGUUCCCGGGCCUUGUACACACCGCCCGUCACACCAUGGGAGUUGAGAAUACCCGAAGCCCAUGUCAAAGUGGUCGAAGGUAGGCUUGAUGAUUGGGGUGAAGUCGUAACAAGGUACC
RNAcentral lists this ribosomal RNA (147 nucleotides) under uncultured bacterium. RNAcentral's name for it is "partial 16S ribosomal RNA". It matches the Rfam family "Bacterial small subunit ribosomal RNA", at positions 1340 to 1500 of the family's 1533-position model. The record is from RNAcentral.